GAACUGUUAAAGAAUUUACAUUAUCAAGUAAUAAAAAUUCGAGACAAAUAGCAUCGAAAUAGUUAUGUAUCGCAUAUAAGUAAUACGAUGAUACAAAUAGUUAUGUAUUGCAUAUAAGUAAUACGAUGAUACAUAAUAUAACAACAAUUCAAUUUACAUUUCAAUCUCAUAACAUUUUUUCUUUUAAGAUAUUCGGCCGACAAGCCAGUAAUCUGAUAUAAAUUGAUGUGCAACCCACAGUCGCAGAUCAAACAUCGAACCUUCUAGCUCUUUCCAGAGAUAAAAGUGGUAUUAGAAAGGAGCCCGGAAAGAAAGUUCUCACAUCCAAUACAGCAUUUUUAAUUCACCUUUCACUUUCCCAAUCAUCGAUUCAAUAGGCUGCAAAACAGAGAGGAGGCUAACUAAAGAACACAAGUAGAAAUCAGCUCUAACAAAGGAAGUUGUAACAACACACAAAAUAGUAGACAGCCCUCAGAUCUUUCAUACAGAGCUUAUUUGAAGUCAUUGACGGCACAUCGCAUUGGUAUCCACCAAAGCCAAAAGACCUAACAUCAUCAUCGCCACCACUGUAACCAUCAUGCAUGUGUAUAUAUAUAUAUAUAGAAAGAGAGAGAGAGAAAGAGAGAGAGAGAGAGAGAGAGAGAGAGAAAGAGAGAGAGAGAGAGAAGCAGGUGCAGCAAUGGAGAUGAUGAGUCUCGCCUAGAAACAACCAAGCGGUACCAUCGGACUCAUAAAGUCAUCAUCACUGGGCUUGAAUCGUUUUAAAAACAACUACACUCAGCUAUUAUAGAUAUACCAUAUUGUCGCAACAUCAAUGAACAAAACUUCAAAACUAUAAAAACAGAAACUUGAAACUGCAUUGUUAACAAAACGCCCUCAGUAUUCGUUUAAAUCUGUCAUUUGUGGCGCACCAAACUCCGGUUAUCAAAUGACCCGUAGUUACCAUUGCAAUAAACCAGGAGCAGCAGCAGAAGCAGCGAUAACAAGAGAAAAAGAAGAAGAAGAAGAAGAAGGAGAAGAGAUAGUGUUGACAAUGAUGAUGAUGAUGACGAUGAGCUGCAAUGAUUACUACGAGGUCAAAAACUGAAAAACCAGGGCACCACUCAGAAAUUUCAAAUUUACAUCAAUGGGCAAAUUCAGAAUCCGAUAAGACAGAAAUAAACCAAGUAAAAACUGAAACUUUUUUCGAAAAAUCAAUGAAAGCCCUCAGAUCUCAUAGCUAUAUAUCUGAUCAUUCACGGUUUGCAAGUAAAUGGGUAAAAUCCAGCAAACCUAAAAGCCCCAAAAACCGCUAAUCCGCAUCCGACGCACGUGUGUGAAGGUGAAAAAAAACUGUGGAAGUGAAAAGUGCGCGUGUGAAUGUCGUCGGCGACGAAUCAGCGAUGUUCAAGAGUUAAAGGAUACACCACAUGCCGGAGAUUAUCCAAAUACAACCGCUCUAUUACAUAAUUUAUCCAUCAUAGGGCAAAUCAACAACAAUAAACUGCAAAACAGUAUUCAGAAUUAUCGUAUCAGGUUUGAAAACUAAACCAAAUAAAACACUUCGAAAACGAAAAUCGAUUGUCGACGAGAGAUCUAAGUGUUAAAAGUGAAAUCGGAACUGAGCCGAUUUUGCUUGGAGGUGAACUGAAAUAAAAGAGAUGAAAUUAGGGCUUCAGUAUGUUAAAUGACGUUUGUACCAUCACGCUUUAAGCCUAUACAGUAAAUUGUUAUUAUUAGGUUCGUGGGCUGGCUCUGAGGUUAAAAACCCAUUACUACAAGCCCAUUAUGAUUAAACAAGCCCGUUAUGCAAAACUCUGACGACAAGAUUAACAGAAGAUGUUUUGAUAAAUUACGAAUUUUUUUGUGGUGUGAUUUGGUGCUCCACCACCACUCUUGCAACUGGCAAUAUUUAAACACAAAGACAAACCAUUAGUAAAGUGGAUUUGUAGAGGAUAAUUCAUUCAUAUUCAUCAAGUUUGGAUUUCUAAACAUGCUUAAGUUCUUGAAUAAGGUUAGUAAAAGAAGAAAACAAAGAACUAACUUCUCUUAUUGUCUUUUUUUUUUCAAAAAGUUUUAAAGGAAAACGUAUAAUAUCUGACCAAGGAAUAUAGUAUAGUUUUUUUUUGGGUAAAAAUAUAGUAUAGUUUUAUGGACCAAUUAAUCUUAUGAUUUAUAGCUAAUCGGAUAUCGUUUUAAGAGAUGGUAUUAAAAUCCAAAAACAAAAAGCGGCAACCAGAAAUAAGCCACAUUGACCCUUUGAAAUUAGACUAUCCGGGAAUGGCCCUUCAAGAACACUUUCAUCACCAAGAUCUAAAGAUACUAUAUUUAAGAUAAUUGAUGACAUCACAUAACUUGGUUCAUCAAACUAUAACUAUCGUCGUUAGGUCAAUUCUUAUUAUAAAAUUCCAAUCGUUUUAUUAUUCUCGCAAAAAUCCACAUAUAGUGGUUGAAAUGUUGUUUAAUUGGUCCACACCCCAAAAUAAGAUCACCAAUAUUCAAUAAAAAGUUUGGCACAGGUUUUGUGAGUUUUAAUUCGAGUCAUUUGACCAUGAAUUAAGUGAAUCAUAGUUACAACAAAAAGAAAAAUGAAAAAGAGCUUUAUCUAAUUUUUGUUCGUGCCCGCAUCGUUGUGGUCUAGGAAAGGGUUGUGUGAGGUUUGGGAAGUUUGGGUUUGGGCCAAAGGCCCAAGCAGUUUACAUGGUAGUCCAAUAACAGGCGAUCUAGCUAUCUCUGGCAUUAGUUGGAAGGCAUUUCAAACUCGGGACAGGUAGUAUGGUGGCCCAUUUGGAUCUCAUGGAUCUCAUGGCCCGUUGACUCGAGUUCGCUUGAAGCUCAUAGUGUCUGUUGAACCGUUGAACCAGGGAGAAGUCCACACUAUAGCACUUCGAUGCGUUCCUACUGGAGCUGACCGAAUCAGCCGAUAGGGUUUAUCAAAAAAAAAAAAAAAAAAAAUUUGUUCGUGAAAAUAAACUCAAAACUAUGCAAUCUUCACAUUCCUUUUGUUUAUGCAACUUUCACAUUCCUUUUGUUUUUAUAAAAUACUGUAUAACAUAUCAAAACUAUUAAAGAACUUCAACAAAAUAUUUUAUUGAGAACGUAAAUUCAAAACGAUGCUUAUCGUGGGGGUCUCUCUAGCUAUUUGAUGAACUCUUCACACCAUAUUCACAGACGAUUUUAGACUUUGGAAUUGUAGAAAUAAUAUUAUAUAAAAAAAUUUGUUUGACGAAAAAGAGGGAUUAGCUAGUAUUAUUAUACUAUUAACUUCGAAUAACAAGUCUAAAAAAACCAACAACAAUGGGAAAAGGAAACUAUAAAUCAUGUACCGUGAGAAGACAACCAUUGAAAUUUGAAAUCUCCGUCUUUCACACGAGAUAG
This 3357-nucleotide long non-coding RNA is filed under the name Eutrema salsugineum. RNAcentral's name for it is "long non-coding RNA (ESAL_LNC000026)". Lineage: Eukaryota; Viridiplantae; Streptophyta; Magnoliopsida; Brassicales; Brassicaceae. The record is from RNAcentral.